Molecule: transfer RNA, 74 nt
Filed under: Hyperionvirus sp.
Lineage: Varidnaviria; Bamfordvirae; Nucleocytoviricota; Megaviricetes; Imitervirales; Mimiviridae
Description: tRNA-Ile
Source: RNAcentral
UGUACCAGAUGGGACUCGAACCCAUAUAUCGCUUCAUUAUAAAUAAAGUGCCUUUCCAAUUUGGCCACUGGCAC